GAUGAACGCUGGCGGCGUGCUUAACACAUGCAAGUCGAACGGACAGGCCCUGCGCUUGUGGCUCGCUCGAGAGCCGCGCAGGUGUGUAAAACGCGUGUAUCACCCACUUGUAUGUCGGAUAACAUCACGAAAAUGCGGAGAUAAUCGGGUAGAAGCUAUUGAUGCAUGGUGGGGGUUGGUAAGUUUCGGCGGUGGGGGAUGGACUCGCGGCUUACCCGCUUCUUGGUGGGGUAGUGGAUUUCCAGGUCUGUGACGGGUAGCCCGCCUGAGAGGGUGACCGGCCACAUUGGUACUGAGAGACGGCCCAGACUCCAACGGGAGGCAGCAGGGGGGAAUAUGGCACAAUGGGGGGAAGCCAGAGGCAGCAGCGCCGCGUGCGUGAUAACGGCUUUCUGGUUAUAAACCGCUGUCGCCGGUGACGAAGCGGUAGUGACGGUAAUGAGUAAAGAAGCACCGGCUAACUACGUG
This 468-nucleotide ribosomal RNA is filed under the name uncultured bacterium. RNAcentral's name for it is "partial 16S ribosomal RNA". It matches the Rfam family "Bacterial small subunit ribosomal RNA", at positions 28 to 507 of the family's 1533-position model. The record is from RNAcentral.